RNAcentral lists this ribosomal RNA (984 nucleotides) under Hypsostroma caimitalense. RNAcentral's name for it is "eukaryotic LSU rRNA". It matches the Rfam family "Eukaryotic large subunit ribosomal RNA", at positions 90 to 1096 of the family's 3401-position model. Lineage: Eukaryota; Fungi; Ascomycota; Dothideomycetes; Pleosporales; Hypsostromataceae. The record is from RNAcentral.
CGAGUGAAGCGGCAACAGCUCAAAUUUGAAAUCUGGCUCCUCUAGAGUCCGAGUUGUAAUUUGUAGAGGGUGCUUUGGCGAAGGCUGCGGCCUAAGUUCCUUGGAACAGGACGUCACAGAGGGUGAGAACCCCGUACGUGGCUGCCAGCCUGAGCCGUGUAAAGCCCCUUCGACGAGUCGAGUUGUUUGGGAAUGCAGCUCUAAAUGGGAGGUAAAUUUCUUCUAAAGCUAAAUAUUGGCCAGAGACCGAUAGCGCACAAGUAGAGUGAUCGAAAGAUGAAAAGCACUUUGGAAAGAGAGUCAAAAAGCACGUGAAAUUGUUGAAAGGGAAGCGCUUGCAGCCAGACUUGCGUUAAGUGUAUGCUUGGGCAAUUGCCCCUGCUUUAUCUUAAUCGCAGGCCAGCAUCAGUUCGGGCGGCUGGAUAAAGGCCUUGGGAAUGUAGCUCUCUCCGGGGAGUGUUAUAGCCCUCGGUGUCAUGCAGCCAGCCUGGACUGAGGUUCGCGCAUCUGCUAGGAUGCUGGCGUAAUGGCUGUAAGCGGCCCGUCUUGAAACACGGACCAAGGAGUCUAACAUCUAUGCGAGUGUUUGGGUGUCAAGCCCGGACGCGUAAUGAAAGUGAACGGAGGUGGGAACCCGUAAGGGUGCACCAUCGACCGAUCCUGAUGUCUUCGGAUGGAUUUGAGUAAGAGCAUAGCUGUUGGGACCCGAAAGAUGGUGAACUAUGCCUGAAUAGGGUGAAGCCAGAGGAAACUCUGGUGGAGGCUCGCAGCGGUUCUGACGUGCAAAUCGAUCGUCAAAUUUGGGCAUAGGGGCGAAAGACUAAUCGAACUAUCUAGUAGCUGGUUCCUGCCGAAGUUUCCCUCAGGAUAGCAGUAACGUUUUCAGUUUUAUGAGGUAAAGCGAAUGAUUAGAGGCCUGGGGGUUGAAACAACCUUCACCUAUUCUCAAACUUUAAAUAUGUAAGAAGUCCUUGUUACUUUGUU